GCACAAGCGGUGGAGCAUGUGGUCUAAUUCGACGCAACGCGAAGAACCUUACCAGGGCUUGACAUCCCCUGACCGCGUAUGAAAGUACGAAUUCACCUUCGGGUGACAGGGAGACAGGUGGUGCAUGGUUGUCGUCAGCUCGUGUCGUGAGAUGUUGGGUUAAGUCCCGCAACGAGCGCAACCCCUACGUUUAGUUGCUAACGCGUGAAGGCGAGCACUCUAGACGAACUGCCGUUGACAAAACGGAGGAAGGUGGGAUGACGUCAAAUCAUCAUGCCCCUUAUGUUCUGGGCUACACACGUGCUACAAUGGCCGGUACAGACGGACGCAAAGCCGCGAGGUGGAGCAAAUCCUAAAAAGCCGGUCUCAGUUCGGAUUGCAGGCUGCAAUUCGCCUGCAUGAAGUCGGAAUCGCUAGUAAUCGCAGGUCAGCAUACUGCGGUGAAUACGUUCCCGGGCCUU
Molecule: ribosomal RNA, 461 nt
Filed under: uncultured Pelotomaculum sp.
Lineage: Bacteria; Bacillati; Bacillota; Clostridia; Eubacteriales; Desulfotomaculaceae
Description: bacterial SSU rRNA
Rfam family: Bacterial small subunit ribosomal RNA
Source: RNAcentral